Non-coding RNA from Oryctolagus cuniculus (rabbit), 30320 nucleotides. The record is from RefSeq and is a predicted model, not a curated record. NCBI's taxonomy places the organism in Eukaryota, Metazoa, Chordata, Mammalia, Lagomorpha, Leporidae.
AUGACGCCCGGAACUGAGGCGGCAGCGGACGCACUUUGGUGCGCCGCAAACGCACACCGCACGCAGCCUGGGCGAACUCGGACGGAACUCAACGCUAAGUCAUUUCAAAGGCUUGGGACGCGCAGCCGAAGGCAAUAUGGCAUCACCAACUCCCUGCCGAGGGCUCCCCGCUGUGAACAAGGACGGGGCCGCGCAGGUAAAGCCGGGAAGAGUUUUGUAUCUGAGAGGAGGAGCGGCAGCGAGGUGAAGCACGAGCGCCCCGACCCCGCGAGGGGCCGGCCGCGUCGCCGGGAUUGUUACUUAAGAAUGGAAGAGGAUGCAGAUUAUAUCCGAUUUAGUUCUGUGUAUUUCCUUAAUGAUCACAUUGGAUUUCACGGCACUAUAAAAAACUCACCAAAGGACUUUAUUGUUACUGAGAUUGAUGAACAGGGACAGUUAGUCAGUAAGCCCUUUGAUGAGCUUACUACUAAAAGCCACAUUGCUAAGCCACAUAAUUUUGCCAAAAAGCCAAAACUGGAUCUUAAAAAAAAUUCAUCUGUUGAUGAUGGAAGUGAAGAAGUUGAUACUUCGGCUAGGUGCUCUGAUGGUGACCCAGGUGACCAAUGUGAUUCAGACCAGGAAGACAGCCUCAGUGGUGACACUUCUGAGUGUAAAGGAGAAACAGCUGAUGCACUAAGCGCGUUUUUAGAUGACAAAACAAAUGAACUCUUGAGUCAGUUCGCCCUUGAAACCAAAGAGAAGUGGAACGCUGGCACUGAGCAAGUCGGACCACCUUCUGAAUUGUUCUUAGGCGUGAUUUCUGGCAAAAGGCGCAGGGCUGCUUUACAUAGUGCUAUUACACAGAAAUUUCCUUUUUUACUGACUACAACAAAAACCUGUAAAGUUGUUGUAAGACCAAAUCUUAGGUAUAAAGAACUCUGUGACUUGGUGUCUGAAGAAGAAGCAUCUGGGUUUUUUAAAUAUUUGGGUGCGAAGAAAGAAAAUUCCAGGUUUGCUUUUAAGCCUGAUACAAACAAAGAGCGCAGAAGAGCCGUCCACCAUUUUGUAAAUGAAAGGUUUGGGCGCUUGUUGGAAACCGAGUCUUCUGAAUUGGGUUGCUGUGACGGAGAUCAGAAAUUGGUGGUGACAGUAAGGUUGCGUGAAGAAGCCCACAGCCACAGGAAGAGGUCUCGGGAGAAAGUUGCACAUACAGCUUUUACCCUACGAAAGGAAAAUGUGGACAUGUUUGAAGCAAUUGAUCAUUUAGCUGCCAAACUUGGUGUGAUUCCUCCGGAUUUUAGUUACACAGGCCUUAAAGACAAGAAAGCCAUAACCUACCAAGCCAUGGUUGUUAGAAAAGUGACUCCUGAGAGGUUGAAAAGUAUUGAAAAAGAAAUUGCAAAGAAGGGAAUGAAUGUGUUUAAUGUCCGAUCUGUGAAUGCAGCUCUGAGACUUGGUCAACUAAAAGGAAAUCACUUUGACAUUGUCAUCAGGAAUGUAAGAAAUUGGAACGGUGAUCCUGUAAACCUGAGAGAGAGGAUUUUGGAGGCCAUAGAAAACGUGAAGAAUAAUGGCUUUGUGAAUUACUAUGGUCCUGAGCAGUUGGAGAAGGAAAGGAAUGUUCAUGCUGACCAGAUUGGAUUGGCUUUGCUGAAGGAGGAGAUGGUGAAGUCUGUAAAACUGUUUCUUACUCCAGAAGAUGUGGAUGAUCCUGUAAACAGAGCAAAGAAAUAUUUUCUUCAAACCGAGGAUGCCAAGGGCACACUUGAGCUGAUGCCUGAGUUCAGAGUUCGGGAGAGAGAGCUGUUGGAGUUGCUUCAUCGCUUCAGCCUGACAGAGGAAGGCUGUACCAAUGUGUGGUACUGUCUUCCCCACCACGUGCGCACGGUGUAUGUCCACGCUUACCUCAGCCAAGUCUGGAACGAGGCCGCGUCCUACAGGCUUGAGGCCUAUGGAACCCGUGUGGUGGAGGGCGACCUGGUGUGUCUGGACGACGUCCUUGACCAGGAGCAUUGCCCAAACAGUAAAGUUCAUCUGGUAACCAAGGAAGAGGAAUUGGCUAACACAUAUACAAUAUAUCAGGCCACAGCAGAGAGCUGGAUAGGAAGAGGAGCAGCCAGGACUAGAACCAGCACCCAUAUGGGAUGGCAGCGCCGCAGGUAGAAGAUUAACCUACUGCACCACAGCGCUGGCCCCGAGACUCUGUUUUAUACCUGUGAGGAAAAGAAGUUGGGGAGCCACAAGGCAUCGUGGGAAGAGGAAGCAAGUCUUACAUGAUGUCCUAUGCCAGACACUCAUCUAAAGCAAACAGCUUCAACGCGAUUGAAUAUAAGGUGGUGACCAAAGGCCUGUGCACACAGAAGAGAUCAUGACCUUAAUAUCAGAACAUAGAAAAGGAGGAAUAUGAUCAGAGUGUUUUUCUGAAGCAGAGCUAACGAUGAAACCUGCAACCAAGGAUGCCAAUUGCCUUCCUGCAUCUUUUCUUCCAUCCUUCAUGGCGAAAGUCUUGCUCUGGGGCUCCUAGCUGCCCAGCCAGAGGUUCCUUGUUGAGAUUUGGUGGAGAUUAUUGACUGAACAUUCGAGACAUAGAGAUGAAAGUCAACAGAAGUCACUAUUUCCACAAUAACAUUGGAGUCACCUGGACAAACUCCUAAAUGGACCAGGUAAGUAAACUAUUUCCGUCUGUAAAAGCAACAGUACCUCUUGUAGGGUGAUGUUUGAAUUCCUAAAUCAGGUUGUUGACCAGUGUCUCUAGCAUCAGAGGGUCAGUGAGAGCAGAUAAUUCCAAAGAGGCAGCACUGCUUGUGACAGCCUGAGAGACAUUGCAUGGAGAGGAGCCUGCAGGGCAGCUGAUACCCUUAGAAAAGGAGGGAGUUGGAGGGAAUUUCCCAAAAAACAAAUAUUUGAAUGUAUGAAUUGCUCUGUGGUUAAUAUAAUUUAGUAAACCUGUAUGAAUGAGCCAAAAGUACAAGUUUAUUUUGUCUUUCUCUAGAUCCAGCUAUCUCUUUAGAAUAUUUUCUUUAAUGACCGUAACAUGUGUUUUAUCCAAGAGACUUGGUAACAUCUGGUUUAAAUAGUUGUGCUCUAUAAUUUUCAAGUAAUUCAGAUCCUUUCCCUCACACUCAUCUCUUCUGUAACUGUGUAAGUUUAAUUCUGUGAUCAUUUCCGUCUUGUCUUUUCAAUAUGCUGUAAUAGCCCGUGAGGGCAGGGACCUGGCUGGCUGCUUGAUUGAUUGGUUGGGUGGAUGGGUGAGUGGCUAGUUUUCCUCAUUAUAUCCUCACCAUCCUACACCAUGCCUGUCAUACAGUGGGUACUCAGUAAUUCUUAGGAAUGAAUAAAUGAAUACAAGUUAAUAAGGUUGAUGGAGCUCUUUACUAAAGUCUGCAAGUGACUCUGUUCCUUCUACAUGGAAUUUUUCUGGAGGUAGAGAGAUGGAUGGAUUGAUUGAUUGAUUGAUUGAUUGAUAGAACAAGCAUUUAUUUACAAGGUAGACACUAUUCUGAGCAUUGUGAUGAAAGGAAUGGGCAUAGUUUCUGCUCUUAAAGAGCUCACAGUCCUGGGGUAGAUGCUCAGUAACUUGCCAACUGUGUAUUUCCAGCAUCUGAGGGAGAAGUGCAGUUCUGUACGUGUGCAGUGCUGCACCAGGGGUUCUUCUGGGCUGUUUGUUUCUAAGUAUGCUUGUCAUAUCUGUGUCUUAAAGAAAUAGAGACAUAAAAGUCAUGAUUUGUAUUUCAUCCUGUCUGCCAGGAGCUGGAGACUCAGAAACAAACCAGACAGAGACAGAGAUGGUCCCUGCUAGCAGGGAUGGCAAAGUAAACAGGCGAACAAGAGACAUUUAAUAGCACUGUAAGUACUGCACAUGAAAUCAGUGUAGGGGUGCAGCCAGGGAGGGAAGAGCCAAGAGAGACUCAGGGAGGGACUCCUUUGAGUUGGUGACACUGCACCGAGAAGGGAAGUAGGGGUUGGAACCAACGUGGUAAGUCUUCUGGGGAAGCGUCAGGGCCAGGCGUAGCUCAGGAAACAAGCUUGGCGGCAUCAGGGAAGGCCGGCAGUGGAUGUGACCUGGCCUUGGCUUCCAUGGGGUGAGACAAGAUCCAGGAAACCCACAGCUACAUUCAGCACCUGUGGGUUCUCGUCCGCAUUGCAACCAGGAGUUAAUGGUGAAUUCACACAGCUCACAGGAUGGCCACUCGCAGACGAGGGCUGUGUGGUGCUGAGCACAGAAGCAGCACAGUUGUGUAGCUGGAUUUCAGAGACAGGUCAAUGAGACCCUGGAUGCAAUUAGCUUGCCAUCCUCUGGGGAGUUCCCUUCCGCCAGCGCGUCACCUUGGCCAGCCCAGCACUGGUGUCCGUCAGGGUGGGGUGUGUGUACCGGGGUGAUGCCCAGGACACAGAGGGUUUGUGCCCUAGGAAAUGUUUGAGAAGCCCACCUGUCAGGAGGAAAAGGAUUGGGUUUGCGGGGGGAUUAAAAGCAAAACAAUUUCAGAUCUUUCGGGGUGUGGGGGGAAGAGUGAUUCUGGUCUUCAGUCUGUAAUGUGAAGAAGAAUGGGGAACAGUCCUGUGGCCUUAGGAUGACCCGAGUGCGGUCAUUACUCAGUGGGUGACCCUUUGCUGCCUAUAGGCCCCAGGGCUGAGCCCCAGGGAAGCAAGGGCAGGGCAGGGUCUCUGCACAGGUGUUGAAGACAGGGCCGACCUCUUUUCCUGUGUGUCCGGCCAGGGAUUAGGGGGAAUCGAGGGAAGCAUCCAGCUCAGAGGAAGAAGCUGAACCUAAUGCUGAAGUGGCUGGUGUGGGUGGGGUAGAAGUGAUUGGUUCAGCAGUGUGUGAGUUGUGUGAAUAGGUCAUAGGAGUGCUGGUCUGUCCGUAGAAUGAAAGUAUUUGUGGCACACACAGUUACACGACUGGCACCAGUUGGUGCUCCGACCCUCUGCUGUUAGGGUUUUUUUUUUUUUUUUUUUUGGUAUUUUUUAAAUUCAUAUGAAUUAGUAAAUACCCCUGUCCUUAUUUGGCAUGUGGUUUUUCUUGACUUUUGGUUUUGGGGCAGUGGAUUCCGCGUUCAUGGUUUUCGUCCCUGCUCAAGCAGCAGCUAACGGCUCUCACAGCUCAUGGUCUGUAUCUUGGGUGAAUUUGCAGGUGCAUUCGUCCUCCUGCACUGUUGCCUCCUGGUGUCAGGGUGCUUCACUUGAGAACCUUCCAGAAGGACCCUCUACUGCAGUGGUUUGGGUUUUCCCUCUUGACUCUGCUUCAUCGUGGGUAACCUUGGCCUUGAUUUGCUCCCCAGAAAACAAAGAAGAGCUCUGUUUCUUUGCCAGCCCUGUCACUAGAAAGGGGAGCAACUCAAAUGUAGCCCACCAGCUGCUCUCCAGGAAGACUGCAAAAAUGCAGAGAUAGGAGCAAGUGCGGCUCCUGACCGAGCAGAGUCGCCGUGUGCAUGGGGCAGGCUUCCAGUGGCCUGGCUUCACCUUUCCCUUGCAUGCUCAUCCCUUCCUUGGGUCCUGUGAGCUGCCAUAUUGUGCUUGCUUUGACUUAAGGUAGCCAGGUUUGGUUUCUGCUGCUUGUUACCAAAGAAUCCUAAAUGACACCUGAGCCAUGCCAGGUGCCUCCUUAGUUCCCAUGCCCAUAAAUAAGUCCUUGAGAGAAAUAACUCCUACCAGGAAAAUAUGUAACUUAGCCAGCAAAGGGUAUUAACCAUGGAUUCCGUGGUGGAAUGUGCUGUUCCUGCCAGGUAUUGUACACGUCUUCCUAAGGAAUGCUUUAGGGGAGGACGUAUUUUGGUCAUGAUACAUUGCGGUCUUACCCAGAAGUUGUCCAGAGACUGGCCCGAGCAAAGCUGCUCACUCUCAAAGGACAACACCUGUGGCUUUCAUAGCCUGCAGCUUUGUCAGGAACCCAAAGAGCAGAGCAGAUGCAGGGAGCAGGAAUUCAUCCCCAAUCUUUGCUCCCUGAAAGCAUCCGAAAGCUUCGACAACUGAGUUUUACAUGAAACACAGAUUUUGUACUCUUAUUUGUUAAUCAUUGUAUUUCUGGUUUUAGUUUCAACUUUGUGUUUUCAAAAUUCCCACAAAGUAUAGAUUAUAGAAUGCAGUUUUUGGCCGGCGUCCCGGCUCAAUAGGCUAAUCAUCCGCCUGUGGUGCCGGCACACUGGGUUCUAGUCCCUGUCGGGGCGCCGGAUUCUGUCCCAGUUGCCCCUCUUCCAGGUCAGCCCUCUGCUAUGGCCCGGGAGUGCAGUGGAGGAUGGCCCAAGUACUUGGGCCCUGCACCCCAUGGGAGACCAGGAGAAGUACCUGGCUCCUGCCAUCGGAUCAGCGCGGUGCACCGGCUGCGGCGGCCAUUGGAGGGUGAACCAACGGCAAAGGAAGACCUUUCUCUCUGUCUGUCUCUCUGUCCACUCUGCCUGUCAGAAAAAAAAAAAGAAUGCAGUUUUUAUGCUUUCAAAACCAUGUUACAGUGAAAUUUAACAAGGUUUUUUGUUAAUACCAUAAAAAUGUUACAAGUAUUAGUCAUAACUCCUUUCAAGACUAAUUGAAAUCAGCAUUUUUAAAACUGGAUAUAAUUUUUAACAGAUUUAUUUAUUUGAAAGGUUCAGUUAUAGAGAAACAGGGAGAGAAAGAGAAAUAAAGAGGAAGAGAGAGAGAGAAAAAGAUCUUCCAUCUGAUGGUUCACUCCCCACAUGGCUGCAAUGGUCAGGGCUGGGCCAGGCCAAAGCCAGGAGCCAGGAGCUUCAUCCAGUUCUCCCACAUGAGUGCGGGGCCCCAAGUACUUGAGUCAUCUUCCACUGCUCUCCCAGGCGCAUUACUAGAGAGCAGGAUUGAAGUAGAGCAGCCAGGACUUGAACUGGCGCCUGUAUGGGAUGCUAGUGACUCAGGCAGAGACCUUACCCACUACACCAUAACAAUGGCCCCAAUUCUUUUAAACCUUGAAUCUGAAAAUAGGCAUUAAAAUUAGAAAGUAAUAUUUUAAAAUAAGGUUCCUUUCUUGGUUUUUUUUGAAGAAUUAUUUUUAUUUACUUGAAAGGCAGAGUUACAGAAAGAGAGAGGGAGAGACAGAGAGAGAAAGGUGUUCCAUUCAUUGGUUUACUCCCCAAAUGGCUGUAACAGCUAGGGCUGGGCAUUCCAAAGCUUGGAGCCAAGAGCUCCUUUCAGGUGUCCCAUGUGGGUACAGGCCCUAAAGCACUUGGGCCAUCCUCUGCUGCUUUCCCAGGCACAUUAGCAGCGAGCUGGAUUGGAUGUGGAGCAGCUGGGUCUUGAACCCACACCCAUAUGGGAUGCUGGUGUUGCCGGCAGGCAACGAAUUUACCUGCUACACCACACCAUCCAUUCAAGUAAGGUUAUUUUCUAGUGGUAUUACUUUGUCUAAAUAAAAGAUAUUUUUGAAAGUUUGUAGUUGUGUUUAUUUUGGUUUAGAUUUUCUUUCUUUCUUUUUUUUUUUUUUUUUUGGUUUCUGGUUGGUGUACCCCAUAAUCAUUUAUUUUAAAACAUUUCUUAAAUAGUAAAUACAAUGCGAGCUCUUAAAAGUUCAUGGAAAAUGUGUAUCAUGAAAAAAAUCAUGCAUGAAUUUAAACACUUUUUUGCCUGAAGAUAAUUCCAUUUUCCGUAUACUGCUUUGAAGUGCCAUCGUAAAUUGCUGAGGUCUGUACUCUGUGCUGGAAUUGAAUCAUUGCUUGCAGCAAAAAGUACACGGGGUUCACGUUUGUGUUGCGUUUCAUUUUUAGCUCUCUCUUGAAAUGCAGCUAAGAGAUCUCAAUGUCUGCGCUUUACGUUGUUAGCCUCAUUACUUUGUGCUUCCUUCUGCUCUCAUUGCUCGUCUUUGUUCACUGCGUCCAACUGUGUGCAUAAUCACAGUCCAGUCUUCCGUCUUCCAGGAGGUCUUCCACAUUCACUUCCUUUAAACCUCCCUUCCCAAACGCCCAUCUCACCUGAGGUUCCUUUGUGAUAUGCUUUUGGUUGCCUUAUUAUUCAGCAUUCUACAUAACUUGUACUCAAUUGGAUUCUGUAUUUGCUGAAAUUAUGCAUUGAGACGUAUAGCCAAGAAUUUUUUUAACUAAAAAAAAAAAAAAAUGGAAUAGUGAUGUAAAGAAAAUUGGACAUAUCUGUUGGGUACUAUUUGAUGCUUCAACACAUGUAUACGUUGGAUGGUGUCCAGUGAGGGUAAAUAUAGCUGUCCAUCCAAACAUUUAACAUUUCCUUAUGGUGAGAACACCCAGAAUUGUACAUCCUAGUUCUGUUUGUUUGUACUGAGAGUGACUGCAGAUAAGCUCUAAGUGCUUUAGAAUCCUGGCCUCUUGCUGGCUUGCACUGGGCAAAUGUUUGUCGGUCCCCAUUGUCCUCUGAGCGCACGACUCAACUUUUCUAGGUGGUUUCCUCUUCUGGUAAAAGCAAGUAUCUGUCUGUAUUUUUCAGUAAUACCAAGUAUCGUUUAUGCAGGUAGUUAGCACAGUUCACUGGAUAUAGUCCUGAUAAUGAUACAGUUAAACUUAUGCUAUUCUCCCCCUUUGCCCAAAGGAAGUAAGAACUUGUAGUAGACGAUGUUGUAGGAGAUGGAGCCAAGACUCAGACAGAAGACCACUCUCUCAGAGUGCUCUGCAUCCUGCAGAAACUGAAUGAGGGGACCAAGGAGUUGUCCCUUGCCUGAGAUCUUUUCCUACUCAGGUUUCGUGGUGUGGUUCCCCGUUCAUGUCUUUGAGUUCCUCCCCUGGUCAUUUCUCUGCAGGUUCCUCUUUGCUCACCUCAAGAAUAUUAGAGUGGAGAGAGUGGUUACAGAUCAGCUUCCCUUUGCGGUGUGCAGCUGGGCUCUGACCUGAAGCCCCUGCUGGGCUUGCAGAGUCCCUCUGUGUGCGUCCAGGUUGUGUUCAGCCGCUGCUCUCCGCCUCGCCUCCCUGCCACUGCGUAGCUGGGUCGCUCUUGUCCUGUUCACUGCUCCUUUGCCUAUUUCCCUUCUUCCCCUCAAGCUUUACAUCUGCCUUCCUCACCAAACAUGUUUCUUGUUGGUCGAAUGUGUUUUUAAUUUGAGUCUUCAAAUCAUCUCCCAUUGCCUGGAGUACUGACAGCUCGUCUGAAACCCCAUUUGUAAUUGUAUCCUGUUACAUUAGAUUUCAUCUGCUUUUUUUUUUUUUUCCUCUCAGGAAUCUUGUUCUCCUGAUUUUCUUAUGAUAUGAUCUCUCUAUCUGCUGCUUUGUUCAGACUUCACCAUUUUUCUGUGCUGACAACAGCAGAACAAGUUGAAGUUGAUCUGAUAGUAAUCACAUAUGUAUCAUUAGAGUCCAUUCUAUAGUUAUAUAAUGGGAUAUAAACUCUCUGCUUCUUUCUAUCAAUCUUAAUAAACUAAGAUUUUUCAUAUAUAUUUAAAGAUUUAUUUUAUUUGAAAGACAGACUUACAGGGAGGGAGAGAAAGAGAGAUCUAUCUUCAACUGCUGGUUCACUCCCCAGAUGGCUACAACACCCAAGUUUUGGUCAGGCCGAAGCCAGGAGCUGGGAACUCCAUCCUGGUCUCCCACAUGGGUGACAGGGUCCCAAGCACCUAGGCCUUUCUCUGCUGCCUCCCCAGGUACAUUAGCAGGGAGCUGGGUUGGGAGUGGAGCAGCUAGGACUCAAACCAGUGUUCUGAGUACAAGUGGCAGCGUAACCCACUGUACCACAAUACUGACCCCAAAUUUUAUGUUUUUAAAUAAUUAUAGAAUUUCAGGAGUCUGUAAAAUUUGGAUAAGAAAGGGGUCAUUGUUACUGCACAGUGGGUUAAGCUGCUGCCUGCAACACCGGCAUCCCGUGUCAGAGUGCCCGUUCAGCCUUGGCUGUACCACUUCAGAUCCAGCUCCCUACUAAGCAGAAGAAGAUGGCCCAAUUACUUGGAUCCCUGAUAGCCAUAUGGGAGUCUCAGGUGGAGUGCCAGGUUCUUGGCCUCAGCCUGGCCUAGCCCUGGCCGUUGCAGCAGUUUGGGGAGUAAACCAGCAGUUGGAAGAUCGCUUUCACUCUAUGCUUUUCUAAUAAAUAAAACAAACCUUUAAAAACAUUUGGAUAGUGCUCGUUUUGGCAGCACCUAUACUAAUAAAACUGGAGUGCUACGGAGAUUGGCAUGGCCUCUGCACAAGGAUGAAAUGCAAAUUCCUGAUAAAUCAGUAUAUAUGAGUUACUUGAAAUUUGUUUACCUUAAAUUAAAAAAUUAAAAAUAAAAACAUUUGGAUAAGAUAGAAAUUUCUAUGAAAACUCUGGGAGAUAAGUAAGCAGAUUUUGGUGAAAGUGAGUGACUCAGUGUGUUAAAAGACUUGAGCAUCUCUGUGUCAGUUUUGGGGGCUCAGCCCCUGUGUCCUGCCUGUCCCUGUGUUCUGACCACUUUUCUUCUGUUAGGACUCCACGUGACAACCUGUUGGUUAAGGAGUUUUCACUCAGACCUAGAGUCUACAGAGCAAAACUCCAUACUCUCACAUUUGAAACAAAAUGUCUUAUUUAUAGUUUACAGAAAUAAUUUAGGUUAUUCCUUAUCCUUUUGAAGACACAGACUAGUCAGCAGUACUUAGUUCUGUCCACUAGGAACAUGGUCUCAGAGUCUCCAGGAAACUGACCCACCUCCUGAUUUUAAAGGAUCCUAAUUGGACAACUUCAUCAUUAGUUUGGUGCUGGAUGAAACUCUUACCAUGCCCAUAAAUUAGCUCAAGGAAGUCUAACAUACCUACAGUUUGAAUCCCUUUAUCAAGAACUGCCCUGUUCUCCAUUGUGUCACUCCUUCCCAGCCGAGGCUAUGUGAAAUCUCACUCUAGUCUCUUCCAUCCCUGGGCUAAAUGCAUAGAGAGGCCCAGGUUGACUUAAUAUUUUUUUUAAGAUUUAUAUAUCUAUUUGAAAGUCAGAGUUAUACACAGAGAGAAGGAGAAGCAGAGAGAGAGGGAGAGGGGGGAGAGAGAGAGAGAGAGAGAGGUAUUCCAUCCGUUGGUUCACUCCCUAGUUGGCCGCAACAGCUGGAGCUGUGCCGAUCUGAAGCCAGGAGCCAGGAGCUUCUUCUGGGUCUUCCACACGGGUGUAGGGGCCCAAGGAGUUGGGCCAUCUUCUACUGCUCUCCCAGGCCAUAGCAGAGAGCUGGAUCGGAAGAGGAGUAGCCGGGAUUCGAACCGGUGCCGAUAUGGGAUGCUGGCACUGCAGGCAGCGACUUUACCCACUACGCCACAGUGCCAGCCCCGGACUCAAUCUUCAAUCCCAACAGUAGCUCCGUUUCUGCUGCUCGGUUUUCUACUGGGGAAUGAGCUCUUUGGCUUGAGUUUCUGACCUCGUGCAGCCAGAGCCCGACCACCCAGUGCUCCCCAUCACUUCUCCUCCUUCCAGACGGUUAACCCCCAAGUGCCAGCCAGGUCCAGCCAAUCCUGAUUUCUCAGCUUGAAUUUCUGCCUACAAAGGCCAUCUUUAGUCAUGGCCUUAGCAUAGGCUCUCUCAGAACCAGAGUGUUUGAUCUGCUCCUGUAGCCUCCAUCUUUUCUGUUUUAAUCAAAGUUGUGUGAAACACCCUUGUCGUUGUAUAAUGUAAGCGUUACGUGUCAGAGAAGGAGUAUUGUGUUCUCAGGGCACGGCCCUGUAAUCUAAUCAGAUGCAGCACUGAGUAGUGAACCGAGAGUCAUGACUGCACACAUGCCAGCACCCUUGUGAAAUCCACCCUUUGCAUUCAGCAAUCUGAAUAGUUGUGAUAGCCUCAGCACACCCGUACUUCAGGUUUUCAGCAGAUUUUGACGAAGCUGGCUCACUUUAGUUAUGAGUUAUAAAGGGCAAGCUGCAGUAAUUUCUGGUAUGAUAGUGGAGCAGUUAUUUCUCUGUAGAUAUAAAAGUGAGAUAUUCUGACAGAAUUGUCUUGUGUGCUGAUUUGUGUGAAUAAGUCAGCAGAGGAAAUAAUGUGAGAUCUAAUAAAUGUUCACUCAAUGAAUGAAUGCGUUGACUAACCAUUCUAUUUAUUUUUCAGAGCGUGUUUUUGAACCUGAUUAUUUUAUUGAUUCGUAUAUGUAUGGUUUGUCUCCUUGAAGGUUAUGAUAGAGCUAAAUCAUUGGGCCAGUUGAUAACUAAGUGAUUUGGAUGACAGAUAUGGAGUUUACAUGCCCAUGUGUCACAUCCAAGGGAAUUUUUCCAUUGAUUAUGUUUGCUACUUUUUCUAUACCUACCAGAAGUAACUAAAGAUAUGUAUUAUUUGAUAUCAGACAUAAAUAUCCACUCCUUGCAGUUGUAAGCUUGUAGGUAGUGUGCACGAGGUCUCCUGCAUUGGAACGUGGAGCAGGACAUCUGCCUGGACAGUGUUAGCAUGGGUGCUCACGGUCAGAGUAACAUGUAGCAGUGUAGCAUUACUUGUGCCCAGGCAUGGACAGCUUAAGAGGGAGAUCCAUUCACUUACAUGGAUGGACGUGGAAGGGGAGCCAUUCUGCAACCAGAUUCCUCCAGCUGCUUUUUUUUUUUUUUUUAAGAAUUUAUUUACUUGGAAGGCAGACAGAGAUACAGAGAGAGAAGGAGAGUGGGAGAGAGGGAGAGAGAGAGAAAUAUCUUCCAUUCACUGGUUCACUUCCCAAAUGGCUGAAAUGGCUGGGGCUGGGCCAGGUUGCAGCCAGGAACCAGGAGCUUCUUCCAGGCUGCCCACGUGGGUGCUGGGGCCCAAGUACUUGGACCAUCUUCUGCAGCUUUGUGAGACACAUUAGCAGAGAGCUGGGUCAGAAGUGGAGCAGCCAGGACUUGAAGUGAUCCCCAUAUGGAAUGCUGGUGCUGCAGGAGGACCCUUAACCUUCUGUACCACUAAGGCCUACUGCUGCUUGUCUUGCAGUGUGUAGGUUUUCCAUUCCUGACACUUGCUCCAUCCACAUUCCGCCAGACAGGAGAGGAAAACAGACCAACUAAAGGGCAGAAAGUGUGGCCCACCUGUGUUUAAAGAGAGGCUUUGUUUGCGUGUUCUUGCAGAGCUGUCACAUGCUACGUGGAACUGCGUUGGAGGCGGGGAAGUCACUCCUGCUGCGGCAGUCCAGGAGGCCGUGAGUGUGACUGUGAGUCAGGGAGUUCUGUACUCACUGGAGAGGGAAGGGCUGCUGGUGACAGUGAGCACUCUGCCCCCACAGUUUGUUGAGAUUUGCAGUUUGUUUGAAAUUUAACAUAUUGUCCAUUUUUUGCUUCUAACACAGCUGCAUGUGGGGCCUGUGGGUGCUCUCUGACUGUUGUCUGUGCACAGCCUACCUCAUCUACCACAUGUGUCCCUGGUAAGCAUGCAACUGUUAUUGAAGUCAGUUGAAUUCACAUAGCUGUUGUAUAUUUCAGUUUUAACUAAGGUAUACAGUAAUUUUAUGUUCAGAUAAUCAUUGGGGUGUUUCACUUCAAUUUGUUUUGUAUUUACUGUGUUUUGUUUACGAUUUGUUGUUGGAUAUUUAUUUUACUUUUUAUAUCCUUCUUUCUUUAGGAUUAAUCAGGUAGUUUUUAUUUUUUCACUGGCUUUUUUUUUUUUAACCUUACUUUAUACUUGGUGAUUUUGCACUUUCACAGAGUCACUUUUUCUUGUUCUUGUAAAUUUUUUUUAUUUAUUUGACAGAUAGAUUUAGACAGUGAGAGGUAGAGACAGAGAGAAAGGUCUUCCCUCCAUUGGUUCACUCCCUAAAUGGCCGCAAUGGCUGGAGCUAUGCUGAUCCGAAGCCAGGAGCCAGGUGCUUCCUCCUGGUCUCCCAUGUGGGUGCAGGGUCCAAGCACUUGGGCCAUCCUUCACUGCCCUCCCGGGCCACAGCAGAGAGCUGGACUGGAAGAGGAGCAACUGGGAUUAGAACCUGGCACCAUAUGGGAUGCCAGUGCCGCAGGUGGAGGAUUAAACAAGUGAGCCAUGGCGCCGGCCCCUCUUGUUUUUGUAUUUUUAAUAGAUAUUGCAAAAGAUACAUUUAGCAGAUGUUAUAAAAUACGGCUGUCUAACUUGCUCAUUCACUGAGACAUAAUCUUAGUAACUGGAGUGUUUUCUAGUAUCUUGAAGUGAGCCAGUGAAGGCUGUUAUUGGAUGGGUUUCCAAAAGUCAUUUCCAAACAGGCAGGGGGUCAUAACAGAGGGAAAGCAGCAGUGUUAACCUUUGACCCCUCGUGCAGGUAGGAGGCAGUGAUGGCUGCGGGUGAAUCAUUAAGAUCCUGGGUCCACUUGUAGGAACGUCUUCGCAGAUCAGUAGGGUGAAAGGGAAGAGAAGAGGAGGUGAAGGAGCCUGUCUGUCGUUUCAGGAAAAUAACUACAGACUGAUGUGCAUGCAGCACCGUCGGUGUGCACGGGGCGCCUGCUGCCCUGAACAUGCAGGACUGGCAGACACCUAACUAGCACAUGUCUUGGUUCUUACGUUCUCCGCUGGGUUAGUUGAAGGCACCACAAAGACAGAAAGUGUCCUUGUGCGCUGGCACUCUCCCCUCUCGGAAUUGAGGCAAUCACCGCAUGCUAGCAUUUCCGUGGAUCCUGUCCACUUCUGGGCCGCAGAGGCCAGCUGUGCGGUGGUGGCCACUUCACGGCUGCUACAUGCGUGAGCCCCUGGCACUUCCCGGUUGUGUUGAUGGCGCCCUGAUUUGACUGAGGCAAUCUGAACUUGGGUUACAACUAAAGCCUGUUCCACAGACUUUAAAGUCGGCUUUCCUGUCCUCACCUGUGGCUCGGGAUUCGUAAAACGUUCGCCCGUGCUUGAUUGUGUGAGGGGAAGUCACUCCGUAGUGAUGCAGUUUUCUGUGCACCCGGAAGGAAGCGUUCCUUCUACAGGUGGUGCGGGAAAGCCAUGAUAACAGGAGACAGAAUUUUCCCUCCUGUCGCUCCCCGUCUUCGUGGAGGAACGACACAGGACUCUGCGUUGUUCUUUCGUCUGCUCGGCCCUCCCCAGGUUUGCUGCUGGUUCUUCCUGGGUUGGCUGCUGGUCCUUCCCGGGUUGGCUACCGUCCCUUCCACCUCCGUGGAAGGGCGGUUCCCCCUGCCACCUUCCCCACUUCCGCGGGGGAGCGGCACACCGCCGGCCGGCUCUCUCGGGGGCUGCACAGGUGUUCCUCUUAGAUGUUCCCCUUAGAUGUUCCUGGUGCAUGUUGUCUCUCCUCCUUUAUAGUCCUUCCACCAAUCCCAACUCUGCUACCCACACGCUCUCCUCCAAUCAGGAGCAGGUCCUACAGUUUAUUGGUUGAACUGGAGGCAGCUGCGUAGAAGCUGUUUCCCUUCUCAGCGCCAUAUUGUGGGAGAGCAGAUGCAUAGAAUAAGUCUUAAUUCCAGUAACUUAGUCUAGUCCGGGUUGCUCCCCACACCCUCCUCCGUUUUUCUUUUGUCCCAACUUCAAACGAGGCUGAACAACAUCAACUGGCUCAAGUCCUCCUGAGGUCUGAGACGUAUUAAGGAUGAUAAAGGAGUCCGGAUAGCAACAACAAGGCACUGGACGUUACCUAAACUUUGGAAAACCCCUUCUAAACACCAACUAAAUUUCAAAGACGCUGUUCCUUUCAAAGAAACUCUGGGCGGUGCGUGAGGAGGACGCUGCACCCUCUAGGGUACAAGGACCAGCCUGUUACUUCCGGAAGUUGUGUCUGAGCUGCCUAAUCAUCAGUUUUCCCUGUAACUCCAUGUAAACAUGAAUCCACAAUAACCCUAUAACUCAAUAACCCUGUAACUCUAUGUAAACACAAAUCCACCCAUAAUCAUGGGGUAUAUAAUUAGAAGUUUAAUUGUAACAAAUAAUUGGAUAUAAUUAGGGAAGCUAAGCAAAUUUUUUCCUUUUCUUGGGAUAUUGGACAUAAUUGCUGUAUAGUAUAAAGUCAAAAUUAAAAUAUAUGCUCUGAGAAUUCAACUUAGAUACUAUUGUGCUCAUGUCUUUACUUAGAAAUGUUGUUUUCAGCAUGGCACCAGAUAGCUCCCCUAUGUCUACUUGGCCUGACUGAAAACGUUGAUGGAUAAAUGGAAAAAUGUUAAUUCAUAGUGUUUUUUUAUUUUUUUAAAUUUUUUUUGAUAGGCAGAGUGGACAGUGAGAGAGAGACACACACAGAGAAAGGUCUUCCUUUUCUAUUGGUUCACCCUCCAAUGGCCGCCGCGGCUGGCGUGCUGCGGCUGGUGCACCGUGAUGAUCCGAAGCCAGGAGCCAGGUGCUUCUCUUGGUCUCCCAUGCGGGUGCAGGGCCCAAGCACUUGGGCCAUCCUCCACUGCCUUCCCAGGCCACAGCAGAGAGCUGGCCUGGAAUAGAGGCAACCGGGACAGAAUCCGGCACCCCGACCGGGACUAGAACCUGGGGUGCUGGCGCCGCUAGGCGGAGGAUUAGCCUAGUGAGCUGCGGUGUCAGCCGAAUUCAUAGUGUUUUACUCCUUUGAUAACUCCAGCAAAAUGUUAUUAGAAAAUGUCACUCCACUAUGUUUUCAGGGCUUCCUAACUGAGCAACUAGAGAAAUGUUGAGUGGAACUGCUUUCCAUUUACUUGAGAACACAUCGUUGUUGCGGCACGUGUGCUCAGUUGUCCACCCGGCAGACGCAUGUGGAGGCCGAACUCCGUGCUCUGUGCCUGGGACAGGAGGAGAGCGGGCAAUGUUCUUCAGUGGAGAACUUUGGAGAGUGGAGGCUGUGUGCGUUGCUGACUCCUCUCCUGUAUAAAGGCGUGCCUCUUCCAUGGAGCCGGACCCUGGGAAAAUAUGCACGAAAGAGCCAUUGCUGUACACGUAGCCAUCUCCACGGCCUUGUGUGUGCCUGGGUCCCGCGAGGCUGAGUCUCUCCGUGCCAUGCCUGCCCUCUCUUCUGAGCCAGCAUCGGAUGUUCUUCUUUUUCUACCAGCAAAUAACCCCCGACUUACAUAUCUCUGUGUUAUCUUUGGGAAAAAACACACAGAUAGUAUCUUAGCAACAACAAUUAUAGAAAUCACACAGAAUGUUAUUAAAAUCAUCAGUUUUUUCCAUUUUCCACAGUUGCUCUUGAGAUUGUUUAAACCUAAGGCAAAUAUAUUCUUCACACCCUAAAACCAACUUCUAAAAUUGUUCUGUUUACUUAAAUUCUAACAUAUUUCUGUAAAUAACGUUUUCUUGGGAAUUUAAACAGAAGAACCUGUGAAAGCUGGAGAAUGGUGUAACAUGACGUGGCCUCAUGUCCUUGCUCCCCCAGCAGCUGAAUGGGGAGGAGGAGGAGGGACUGGGCAGAGGGAGUGUGGCCGUGAUGUGGUCACAGAGCAGUGCCCAGCCCAGCCUCAGGGGCUCUGCAGUACCCUGAGUUACAGUGUGGAGGCUGGGCUUAGCACCCCCUGAAGGCACAUCACUCGAACUGGGCUGGCCUUGGAAGGAGACGGCCCUGGGGGAGUCAGUUUUCCCAGACCCCGCCAUUCCAUCCGCAGAUGGCUGCUGGAGGACGCUGUGUUCAGGACACCUCCCAGUGGCUGGGGGAUCAGUCUUUCCACUGAAGAUGGACUGACAUGUCCGCCUGAGGCCGUGAUCAUGUGUUGCCUGUGUCCCCCUGCCCACCCCAGGUGUCUCCUGUGAGUGAAGCGACUCUGCACAAGCGGCCUCUGACUCUGCACAUUUUCCUGGUAAUAAGAGAUUGGAGGCAGCUUUUCUCUAACAACACUGAUCUGUCAUCAGAGCUGGACUGACACCACGAACUAAAGGAAAAAUACCGACUCCUACAGCUGAUCACCAAAAAUCCCAUACUUCCACAGAUUGCAGUGAACUGACCGCAUCUACUGGAGUUAGAGACGGACUUGCUCCCGGUUCCCAGCGGCUGGAACGCUCCCUGGUGCACAGCAGGCUCUCAGCGAUUCUUCAGUGAUUUCUGGGCACUCGAGAGAAUUCAUGAGCAAUAGAAGUCAAUGACUUACUAUUUGUAUUAAUUUGCUAAAUGAGAAAGGCAUGGUAAGUAUUAAGAUUCUUCCCAUAUGUCUUAAGUAUCCUCGUUUAUGAAAACAAGAAAAAAACCUUUGAGGAAUAAGAAACACCAGGGGAAAAUUAGCAUUGUUCCAUUGUUCACCGUUCAAGUAUAAUAAACACAUGCUGGGAUUUAGCUUAAAAUGGGGUGGGAAAUUAGACUGUACACUACCAUCUAACGAAAACAAAACACCUGGACAUUUGUGAUGACUCACUGCCCUCCAAAGGUUUAGUGUCUUUUUUACAGAUAGUGAGAGAGGAGGUCACAGGAGGCUGAGUUUAGCAGGCUCCACACCCAGUAGACUCUCCAAGCGUACCUGCUGGUGGGUCCUAAGUGGCCUGGGAGUGCGUUUACAGAGCGUCUGUUUGCGUUGUAUCCUUCCCUCCACACCCUACCGCCCCUGUAGCUGAACUUCCCCUUUGAAACACGUACACCAACGCGGACAUCCAGUUAUCUUUACUGGUGCGUAACAAAUGAUGUAGAUGUGUGUGUGUGUGUGUGUGUGCGCGUGCGCGCGUGUGAAGUCCAUGUUACGAUACUGGAUAGUAAUAGCGUCUGCCCUGGGCACUGCUGUGGUCUGAGUGUGUGUCCCUCAUCAGCAAUAGCGUCUGUCCCGGGCACUGCUGUGGUCUGAGUGUGUGUCCCUCAGAUUCCUGUGCUGUGAUCCCAGCUCCCAGGUGGGACGAUAGUAGGUCCUGAGGGUAGAGCCUUCAGGAAAGGAAUCAGUGGCUCCGAAAUCAGGCCCCAGAGAGCUGCUUGCUGCUUCCACCCACUGAGGCGUCCGCUGUGAACUGGAGAUGAAGCUCUCAGCAGAGCUGCCAGCUUCCAGAACAGGAGCAACAGCCCGCCGUGGUGCUACGCCACCCUGUCUCCGGCACCGGGGGAUAGCGGCCCACAGAGACGAAACAGCCGACACGCGCUGGCCGUGUGCAGCGAAAGCACUGUUCGCGAUCUCGUCUGUUGCUUGUAAGUCCCUGAAGCAGCGUGUGGUUUCCUUUUCUCAGACAGAGGCUCAGGGAGCAGGAACCAUCUCCGAGCAGCUGCCUCCAACAGGCGAUGAAUGCCUGGUGAACCUUUCAACAUUUUUGUUAAUACAGUAGAAUCCUUUGAAAACUGCUCCUUGUUCCCUGGAGAGGUGGAGCUGUUGAAUUCCCCACAGAGCGAGCCGACCUUGCUUUGGUGGUGGAGGGUGCCUUAGACACCAACAAGAUGAUCAACCUGCAGAACCAGGAAGCAACCGUGGACUGGAAGGUCGGUAUCUCAGAGCAGCUGUCGAAGCUUCCGACAGAAGCAUUUAGAGUGCUCUGGGGAGGGCCGUGUCUUGCCGGAGACUGCCAGGUCUCUCCUCCUGCACCGGGUCUGUGUUGGUGCUGCCAGAAGCCUACGUGCUUCGCCUGUUUGCGUGAGGGAGAGAGAACUGUGCACAUGGAUGGCUCAGGUGGUCGUGAGACCCGACCAGAGCAGAAGGGAAGUGCACAUCGGAUCCUCCAUCUUCCUCUAAGAAACACUGACAAGGAAAAUGGGCCACCCUUGGCUUACUGACUUAGCUUCCUUCUGGCUUCCCAACACAAAGGGUGUUGCUUCAGCGCAAUUACCAGGGCCUUGGGAAAUGUCCCGAGCUGCCCCUUGCGUCUCCUUGUCUGGCUCUUGGCCGCUGCAGGAGGGGCCUCUCCCUGGGGGAAUGUUGUUCCCACUGCCCUGUCCGUGUGGGCAAAUGCUGGAGGGGAGGAGGCAGAGUUGGAAGCUGGGGUGUGGAGCUCGGACUUGGAAAUCCGACUCUUCUCUGCUGCUGUGGGUGGUGUAGGGUCAGUGUGUGCCACUCGGACGUCACACGCUUCCCACUGGCAAGUAGAAGUGAACAGAGGUGCUCAGGCCUCGGCCACUGGGUGCUGUGUGACUACUCAGGGUGCUGUGCCUGCCUGGGGCACAGCCAGGAGAACACAUCUUUCUGCCAUCUGGACACGUGCUUGGGGGGUGAGUGAGGUGAGGGACAGAGCGCCUGAAGCAGGUGUGGUCCUGAGACAGCUCGGCCAGCACCGCUUAGCAUGGUGGGUCUACGCCGUGUCCACUCGGCUUCUCUGAAGCGACGCUCCUGUGUGUUUCCUGGUGGCACUGACCACAGGAGACGCGCGGGUGUGAGAUGUGGAGGCAGGAGCGAAGCAGCGGCACUGGAUCUCGCUGCGGAUCUGCAGCCCAGGUUUCUGGGAUGGGACUGGGGCUGGCGUCUGGCUCCUGCAGCCCCUCUCCUCCUGGCUUCCUCCAGCUUCGUGGCGUCCUGGCCAGGCAGGAAUGCGGCUUCCCUGAGAAGUGAGUGACAGCCUUCUGCAAGGCACCUGCGUCUCAGGGCGGGGAACUGCCAGUGCUGCUGGUGUCUGGUUUGACCUGUCGCAGCUCAUGUUCUGUCCACACCGUCAGCCCUGGGGACCUAGGGUAACUUCAGGCCCCCCACAAGAGGCAGGGGCAGUGGCCUUCCAUGAACUUCGUCGGUAAUGAAUCCCUUACUCCAUGGGAGUUAGUGUGUUUCUACUUCCCCAGUCCCAUCCUAACCUGUAUGUUCAGGAGAACCUGAAGACUGGAGAGACAUAUCUGGGUUAUUUAUAUAUUUGGUAAAAUGUUCGAGAAUACUGUGACUAUUAUGGAAUUAGAAAGAAUGCUUAAAGCAUUGGUGAAUCUUGUUCUAGUCACACUUCCCUUUGAAGUGUAGCUAUUCAUCACCUUAAGCACGAGUGUGCGUCACCUGGGUCAAUAGCAUCCAAUGACAAGCCAGGAGCACUUUGUGAGAUGCAAAUUCAAGUAGCAUUAUAUCAGAUUCAGGUUCAGAGAUGGUUUAUAUGAUGAUUGUUAUUCACUCCACAAAAGGACGUUAGUUCAAAUGCACAAGUGCUUACCAUUCUAGUCUAGUCAGUGUUUUGGCACACUCUCUGUGCAUGGUGCUAGAUGCUAGGGACAUAUGUAGAGAACAAAGACUGAGCUCCUUAGGGUUCUCCACCUGGAGGAAUCUGACCCCUGCUGACCCUGUCAGCUGCUCCGUCUGGCCAUUUGUCGCCACGGCUAACAGCUGGAGGUGCGACUCAGGAGGGAACGGCUGUUGAUUGUCCAGGGCUCUCCUCUGGCCCUCGUCACUCAGGAUUCCCGUCCUUGGAUUCACACUCUCCAUUCCAACCUGUUCUGCUCCUCCCUGAUUUUCAGCUUACUGCAUCUCUAUUUCUCACUGGGCUUUGCUUCCUCCUUGCCUCUGGCACCUUCUGCUGUCUUUUCCAGUUCUAGCCUGAGGAACCCAGGGAUAGGUUAGUUCCAGCCAGUCUCCUCGCUGAGAGAGGUGCGGCUAAGGGAGGAGACGGAGUUGAACUACAGAAAUGUAACCAAACAAGUGCUCCGCUGUUCCUGUCUACCAUGGAACACAUUUGUUGCCGGUGAUGUGAUCAGCACUGCCAAGCGUGACUCCAUCCACUUCCUGCCCCGUAGCUAUGUAUCCACGAAGCUAUGUAUCCAUGUCUGCACUCUGCCACCGGUCCAUUCAUUCUACAAAUAUGUAUGGUGCAGCCACCCACGGGGCACCCACCGUCCUGCGCAUGUCUCUUCUGCUGUUGCAGGCUGCUACCCAGGCUGCAGAGAGCAAGAUGAGGCAGUGGAUGUGCGUGGGUCGUAGAUCUGUGUGGGUCCAAGUCUUGACUCCCAUUCCUGUUUGACUUAGAUUCUUCAUUCAUAAAAGGGAGAUAACCACACCAACCUCCCAGCAGCGUUAAAAGGCUAAUGUGAAAAACCACCCAGUGUUGGAACAGGUAAACACUCGGUGUGCAUAGCUAUCGUCACUGGUGAUGAUUCCAUCUUUCCAUGUGGGGAGGCCAGCGUCUGGGUUCCGCUGUGUGUUCACCUCUCCUUGCCGUGACGCAGCCUGUCCUGGUGCUGUGUCGCACUUGGUUUAGCUCUGCCUCUCUAGCUGCUCCCCUGGUCGUUCUGCCGUUGCAUCCAGUUGCUCAGAUGCGUGCACACCCACUGCUAGUACUUCCUUUCAUCUAAUUCAUUCCAGCGCCACGGUCGCUUUGCUUCUCCUCUCUGAGUCCCUGCAGCAUCCCCGAGACUUCCUCUUCCACACACUGCUCUUUCUGGCUUUGUUUCACGUCCCAGCCCCGGCUCAGUUACUGCUGCAGCUUUCUCCCAUGCGUAGGUGGUGCUUGUAGAGUUCGGCGGUUUCUAAAUCGUUACCUAAUCUGUAAUCCUCCUGGGGGCCCCAGGGAGAGAAGGGAGGACACCCCCAGAGAGCACGGGGCAGUAGGGCCUGAGCACCGCGCCCACUUUGAGCAGGAAGGCCACUGGAAGAAGGAAAUGCCCAAACCUGCAGAGGAAAUUGCAGAAGGAAGAGGAAGAAGGAAAGGUGUUGGACUUGCCGGCAGCGGCUGAGAGUGACUCAGACUGAAUGGCCCUCAGGGAACUCCCCAGGGGAGAGGGAUCCACGCCUGUCUCCCACCAGGAGCACCCGCACUGCUAUGGGUGGCAGGCAAACAGAUUUCUUGAUUGAUGCCAGAGCUACUUUCUGAGCUGUAAAGACUAGACUGAGUAAACUGACCAGAAACCGAGUCUGACCACGACUGGCGUUUUGGGAAAGCCAUUGCCAAGCCUCCCCUGCAGCCCCUAGACUGUCAACAGGAGCUACCAGCCUACAGCCCAUCUCUCUGCUGGGAUGCGACGUGUUAGCCAACUCGAAUGCCCACGUGACUCUUUCUGCAGAGCGGCUGGCCCUGGCAGGCCGGCGCUCUGCAAGCUGCUCUUCUGCGUCAGCACCCUGAAGCCAUCUUGUGGGUGAGUCCAGGAGCACGGCUGAGGAGAAGCCAGGCAGAGCAAGAGCUGCUGUAGCUGUGAAGGCGAAGGUGAAGCUGGGGCAGAGGUCCCCGGGGAAAGCAGCCCCCUUCUGGGCACAGGCAAGAAGGGGCUGCAACCCCUGGCUAUGGCCUUCCUGGAACAUGGCUGCAUCUCCCAUAACACUCCUGUCCUUCCUGUUGAGAUGCAUGGCACAGACAAGCACCAUUUCCCUGAAGAUUUGAGGGCUGAAAGUCUAAUAACUGGGACGUACACCCCACAGUUCCAAAUCCCUACAUGCUACCUGUGUUGGCAUUAGAGGAUGGAUUUCAUUGUGUCUUUUGGACUGUGAGUCACAGAGAUAUUUGCCUUUGCAUGGGAAGACCCAGACACGAGGAGGAAAUAGCAAAAUUGAUGGACUGUUGGGCUCCAGGGUUUCAGAACACACACCCUCUCGCCCCACCCCAGCUCCUUUGUCCAGGGAGGUAGUUGCCAAGGACUUAGAAGAACUCCAACCUCAGGAGGGCGUAGCCCUCAGCCAUAACCCAUACCUUCUGCCUUGGAAGAGGUAAGAGGGUAAAUACCUACACCAACUCUCAGUAUGCUUUUUUCCAUAUUGCGUGCCCAUGGGGCUGUUUGGAAGGAAAGAGGAUUGUUGACUUGAGGAAAGAAAGAAAUGCAAGAUGCUAAAGAGGCCCUGGGGAGCCAAGCACGGUGGCAGUCAUGCACUGUGCCAGGCGUGGGAAUUGGAUGCCACAGGAAGUAACAGGUCCAGCCAGGCAGCAAAGGGACUGCAAAAGCCAAGAGCCCUUUGGUGACCACUUUCAUUCCAGCUGUAGAUCCCAUGCAGCCCAAGCCCUUUCAUUCCCCGAGGGACCUCACACAAUCUCAGGAAUGGGAUUUUGAUCCAACAGAUCCAAGACCUGGUACCUGAUUGGUAAAUGAUUGAGGAGUGAUUUUCGUGCCUUAAAAAAAUUUUUUUAAAGAUUUUUAUUAUUUAUUUGAGAGGUAGAGUUACAGACAGAGAGAGGGAGAGACAGAAAGAAAGGUCUUCCGUAUGCUGGUUUGCUCAUCAAAUGGCUGCAAUAGCCGGAGCCAAGCUGAUCCAAUGCCAGGAAACAGGAGCUUCUUCCAGGUCUCCCACAUGGGGCAGGGGCCCAAGCACUUGGGAGAUCUUCCGCUGCCUUCCCAGGCCAUAAGCAGAGAGCUGGAUUGGAAGAGGAGCAGCCAGGACAGGGGAUGCCAACACUGCAGGUGGAGGCUUAGCCCACUACACCACAGUGCCGGCCCCUUGGGGCCUGAACAUUUGAUGAAUUAAUUAAGCCCACUAACCAAAGCACCCACCAUAGAUGGGAUGUCCCCUCCAAUGGAUUAUGGAACCUGUCGUCAGCUCAGAUAUGCAGAGAACCAUACAGGGAGUCACUCACAAGCGCAUGACCUGUGCUCAGAACAGCCCAGAGUUCCUGCGCAGCUGGGAGUGCAGGCUGGUGGACAGAGUCCAGAGAGGCAGCAGACAUUAUCCUAAUGCCCAGGCAGCAGGAAAGGUCAAGGCUCUGCCAGUGAUGGCAGGCACUGCCACUGCAGGCGGAGGCUCGGCCUCCUGCCACUCAGGAAAGCCAUCGGAAGUGGUUGACGUCUUGUUACAGGGAAAACUCCCCAGGUUUGGCUUGCCUCGCUCAGUUCAGAGCAAUAAUGGAAGUGCCUUCUUCGCUAGCAUUUUGCAAAGGGAAUCUAGACAUCUGGGAAGUUACUGGAACCUGUGUGCCUCCUGGAGACCUCAGACAACAAGGAAGACUGAAAGAAGGACACAGCUAAAAUAUGCCAAGAAACCACCUCGACUCAGAUGAGGUUCUGAGGGUUGCACCGCGUGGAAUCGGAGUAGCCCCCUGGGUGGACGGUGGGAGACCCUUCCUCUAUUCCCAGCACCCCGAUAAACAAUCUGACUUAAAGCUGAAAGCACUGGGCAUUGUUGGGUGUGUCCAGUCCCUGGGACUGAGCCUUAAUCUUGAUUGCUCAUUCACCUGCACCCGUGUGCUUUCCCUGCAGAUGUUCCCUGCCUCGCUGGGUCCUCCUCAACACUUGGAAAGGGACCCGGGCCGAGGACCGGCUCCAGCCCUGGCGGAGUGCCCCCUGCUGCGUGAGGCCAGCGCCAGACCCCACCUCAGACUCAUUACCUCCAGCCUGCCUGAUGGGAACAAGAGGAGCCACCCAUCAACCAAUCCUGCUCUGAGCCUGGGCCCAGACCCAGGUGAAUGCUGAAGAAGAAGGAGAAAUGUGACAAAUACAGGGCUUAAAGUGAUCGCAGGCGGAGGUUCUGUGGAGCUGUCCUAAUGCUCAUGCCCUCACUUUUAGUAGCGGGAGAAGUGGGUGUCUUCCUAGACUGGGCCCAGCGGUAUGCAGAUGGCUUGCAAAGAGACUCGGGCUGAAGCUGUGGGUUAGUGCACCAUCCAGCACCUCAGGCCGACCCUGGUGGGCGUCCCCCUGCAAGGCGGAGCCUGAAUGGGCCUGCAGUGAGGUCUUCAGAAUGACAGCCCUGCCUUGGAGGAUGUGUCCCCGGAUGAUGUCACUCUAUGGCCCAGUGACCAUACUUGCAGUUGUCCAGGACAACAUGGGCUUCUCUGUAGCCCAGACAUAUGCCAGGGCCCUGCCAGUGGCUGAACCCCACUGUAGGACAUUCAAGCUGGUAGGCACCCCUAUUUUGGGAAAAGAGAAACCACUCUUACGACAGCUGACCAAAUAGCACCCGAGAUCCAGGGUGGCUCCCUGCACGGCGCUGUCAACAGGUUACGGUCCUGCAGGCCCAGGCCUGGUUUGCAUGGGCCAGCUCCAGGUGGGACCCAGGGGCUACGUGGGUUAUGUGGCUGUGUGGCCUGGGCUCCACUAGGGUGGACAAGGAGCUGUACUUUAGGCCUCCCUUGGGUUCGAGGAAGGUGGGUGCAAAGUACACAGAAGCCUGCCCGUCUCCCAGAGGUGCUUCCUGGAAGGAACACUCUGCUUUCCACGUGCAGUCCUUGCCCACAGUUAGAGCUGGGGAGUGUGAUCUGGCACACAGAAGCCCUGCCCAGUUAUGCUCAACAGGCCUUAGGUGCCAGUGCCACAGAGCUGUCUCUGCUCAUUACUGAAGCAUUCCUUCCCAGAAAAGUAGUUCUUCCAAACCACAUGCCCUCUGGUGUCCUCACAGCUGCCCAAGGGGGACCUUGCUUUCAUCAGAACAGAACGCUGUGGCUACACCCCGAUGAUUCCUGAUGUACCUCUGUAGCUCGAGACAUGCACACACAAUCAGCGUGAUGUCGUAUCCCACACCAAGCCUUAAUCAGUAGCUCCGUGCCUGGUUUGGGAUUGGAAGUUCCUGGUGGCAGAAGCUGCUAAUCUUCAUGGCUUUCACUGUAGGUGUGGGAACACUAACAUGUUUUUGUGUUUACUGUUGAUGUGUAGUUGACGUGGGCCUGCUAUCUUAAUUUCUUAAUUUCUAUGGGAGGUUCUUGCCUCCCACAGAGAUAAGAAUUCUUAUCUGUACAGUAGGAACAGGACUUAGUCAAGGUGAGAGAAAAAACUUACAUCCAUGUGUGAGUGUGGGCCACCCCCCAUGGAGAAAUACCCACUAGGAGUGGGUCAGAGGGUUUCUCAAAGAGAUAGGAAAGAGAAUGGCACCCCCAGCUGUGGGAAAAGAGGGCUCUCUCCUGUUCUCAGCCUCGUUUAUGAGGUAGUUGGUGGGGUCUUAGCAUGCAUGGAGCCAUCUCGGAAUUUUUUGUCACCUCCGCAUGGAUUUAAUAUCCACGUCACCAUCAUGGUAUCUCCUCCUUCCUGGUCUCUGAUGAGACACAGGGUAAUCCUAGGAAUAUGGGUGCUUUGAUUGACAGGUAAAGCAAUAACAUUAAUGGUAGAACUUGGAAGAAUUCCAGCUCACUUAGGCUUGCCUAGCUGCCCGCCUAUUACAUCAUAUCAUAAAGAUGAUGCAUCUGCCAAGGUAAAGCUAUGCAGGGACUUGAGUGGUCAACUUUAUCAUGAUUCAGAAAACUUCUCCAGCUAAACCAGAGGCUAGGAAUUUUAUUUUUUUAGGAGACUUGUUUUAUUUAUUUGAAAGGCAGAGAGAGAGAGAGAGAAGGAGAGAGAGAGAGAUCUUCCAUCCACUGGUUCACGCCUAAAUGACUACAUUGGCCAAGGAUAGACCAGGCAGAAGCCAGGAGCAUGGAACAAGGAACUCCAUCCAAGUUUCUCAUAUGUGUGAAGGUGGGCCCAAAUACUUGGGUCAUUUUUCUGCUACCUCACCGGGUACACUAGCAGGCAGCUGGAUUGGAAGUGGAGCACCUGGGACUUGAACUGGUGCUCUGAUAUAGGAUGCCAGCGUAACCUGCUGCACCAUAACAUUGGCCCCAAGCAUUUUUUUUUAAAGAUUUAUUUAUUUAUUUGAAAGAGUUACACAGAGAGAGGAGGAGAGGCAGAGAGAGAGAGAUGGAGAGGGAGAGGAAGAGAGAGAGGGAGAGAGAGAGAGAGGUCUUCCAUCCACUGGUUCACUCCCCAAUUGGCCGCAAUGGCUGGAGCUGAGCUGAUCCGAAGCCAGGAGCCAAGUGCUAAUUCUUGGUAUCCCAUGCAGGUGCAAGGGUCCAAGAAUUUGGGCCAUCUUGUACUGCUUUCCCAGGCCACAGCAGAGAGCUGGAUAGGAAGUGGGGCAGCCAGGACUAGAACCGGUGCCCAUAUGGGAUGCCGGCACUGCAGGUGGUGACUUAACCUGCUAUGCCACAGCGCCGGCCCCCUCAAGUAUUUUCUACAACUUCCUGAAACACCCUCACGUUGCCCUCCAACGGCAUGAAUUCAUGAGAACAAUCAUCGUCCCUACUCCCUGAGGAUGGAUGACUAAGUAGAAGGGCGGCAUUGAAACCGAGCCCCUAUACGAUUCAAAUCCAUCUACGAAAACAUCACAGCCAGGAGGAGGCUAAGGAAACGUGACCAUCGACCACAGUGUGGUGUCCUGGACAGACAGACAAAGGACACUAGGUAAAUACCAAGGGAUCAUGAAUAAACUAUGGACUUGCAUGAAUAAUCAUGGAUCAACAGUGGUUCAUCAGUUUAGCAAACGUGCUGGUGUGAGAUGCUACCAAGAGGGGGCGCUGUGCAGGAGUGGGCAUUUGAAACAUCUUAAGUGCUCAGUAUUUCAGUUCAUCUGAUCUGCCCCCCAGAAAUAAAUCAUAUUAAUGAAAAAUGGGCUCCCCUUUAUUUGAACUCCUCUGAUGUCUUCCUGGGGAUGUUGCAGAACAACCUCCUUUCCUCCCCAAACGAGUUGGAGGAGUUGCUACAGAGCCCCAAAGUGGGUUUGCUUGUCAGACAGCAAGAAAGCCAGUCUCUGACCAUGACAUGGUGGAAGACAAGAAUUUACCUGGAAAGCAUAGCCAAAUUUCCAUUCUCUCUUUCUGUCACUUUGCCUUUAAAUCAAUAAAAUAAGUAUUUUUUUAAUAGCAUUUCUUUUUUCCUGCUACAUCCCCCAUCCUCUUUGGGGGAACACCUAGAUCCCUGUUUCCCCAUCCUCAGAAAUAGUCCUCUGUUGUCCACCAUUUUGCUUCUCUCUCAGUCUGGCUUUCAAAGAUGAAAGAGAACAAUGUCUUCUGCUGAAAGGCCAGAAUCCUUGCCAGGCCGCUGAUGCCAGCACGAUGUGCCGUGUUCGAGGUCCCCCACGUCCUCGUGCAGCAGCCAGUGUCUUGACUCUUGCCACACCCACUAACUGCACCGCAGCUGAGCUGCUGGUGCCACUUGGGAUCUGAGAUUCCCUGCGAGUCGUGUGAAGUAAUUCUUUGGUUUCCUUGCUCAUUACUGCAAGUCUUUCUACUUGGGGCCCAGACGGCAACCUAGGGCAGUCCGAGAGCAGAUACUGUAUCACUCAGCUCAGAGUCAUUCCUCUGCUCUCCUUGACUCCACGAACCCUGGGAACUCUGGCUUUUGCAAGUUUGACUGUGAGAGGCUGCAAAAUGUUCUUGGAAAAUCUAAUCAACAUAUAGGUUUCUUCUGAUGAAGAUCGAAUCUAUGCACAUUGAGGGGUCUUUGAAAGUUCAGGGAAAUGUGUAUUAUGAAAAGACUAUGCGUGGAUUUCAAAAUUAUUGUGUCCCCAAAUAAACUUAUCUUUUAAUUCAUCUCAGGGUUAGGCCCUGCCAUGAACCAAGAAGUUUCUUGACAACUUAAGCAAUGAGACUGACAUGUCUCCCGCAAGGGGAGCAGCGCAGCUCACAUCCCACCGAAGUGCUCCUGUUGGUGUUUGGAGUCUUCCGUGACUUCUUGCUCAGCAGGGCUUCCAUGGCACUCUCACGCCCUGUUCCUUUUCUGUCUCCAGGCUCAGCCCUGCGACUCCUCCUCAGACCCCCAGCCCAGCCCGUGGGAUGACCUUGCACACAAACAUCUUGUGACUCCUCAGGCAUCUCCUGCCUCUGGGCUUUCCCCAGGAUGUCCACGUUGGCUGACCGCCCUCCUCUGACCACCGCCCCAAAGCAUCAUAGCAUCUUCCUGCAUUUCCACCACUGCCUCACCCCACUGCGUCAGCUGCCUGUUGAUGUUUAAUAAAUCAUUCCUGAACUUGGUGGCUGAAAACAGCAAACACUCAUUGUAUCGCAGGUUCUGUGAAUCAGGAAUGCAGGCACAACUUGACCGGGUCUUCUUAGCCAGCGUCCCCUGGAGGACUACAGUACAAGGUGGUGGCUGGAGAGUGGUCUCAUCUGAAGGUUCAGCUGGGGCAGGAGCCACUUCACAGUCCACUGACAGUGCUGUGGGCAGGAUUCAGCUCCACACUGGCUGGUGACUGAGGAUUGGGUGCCUGGCUGGCUACUGACCACAGACCUCCCUCAUGUCCUUGUGAUGGGGUCUUCUUCAUAGGCUGCCUCACUACCUGUUAACUGGUUUCUCUUAGAAUAAGCAAGAGAUCAAUUUGGGUUGAGCAACAAAGAAACUAGAGUCUUUUUGUGAUCAAGUUUCAGAAAAGACAUUCCAUCACUUUUGCCAUAUUCUCUUUAUCAGAAGCAAGUUGUGAGGCUCAGCCCACAUUCAUGUGAGGGAUUGUACAGGACGUGGACCCCAGGAGGAGGAAGCAUGGUGGGGGGGGUUGUGGUCACCCUGCAGAAGUCAACAAACACUCAUCCUCACUGGUCUGGAUGUCAAGAGAGAUGAUGCCACGUACACGUACACACACGUACACUCACACACGCACACACACACACACUCGCACAUCCCCAGAAUGGUAUGAAAAGAUUUAUUACUCACAGAAUGAGACUUUCUGGGAAAAACAUAGCAGGCACAAAAGCCAGCCUGGAAUGUCGAGUGAAAAGAGAAGCCAGUGGCUUUGGUUUUUAUUGUGGUGAAGGGGUGGGGCUAUGGUGAGGGUUCCCACGGGAAUGGGGUUUGAAUGCCUUCAGAGUCUCCCUCUGCACCAAGGGAGGGAGCCCUGCAGUGCUGUUCCUCCCCAUCCCGACUUUUGGGGGGCAAACAGGGAAGAGGGAGGGAGGGCAUGAAGGUUAUCAGGGGUCAAACAGCAAAAGUGAAGCUGGAGUCAGACUCCUUGUUACUGGCGGUUGUUUUAGAGGUGGAUACUGUAUUCAUUGUCCUUUAAUCAUUUAUCGACUUGUCUGUCUUUUACAGGAUAAAGAAUAUCAUUGUUUUGUUUUUAUGUUCUCAACACCCAGUGCAGUGGCUGACAUAUCAUGGUCCCUCAAAAAAUGUCUGUUGAAUGAAUAACAGAGUGGCUGGAUGGACUGUC